GAAGAGCACACUACUUGGUUACCUGGUAAUUAACGCCAACUCUGGAAUCAUGCAUACAAGAGCAUUAUAUGGACUGAGCAGAUUAUAUUUAGAAAUAUAUGUCUAGACAUAAACAUGUAUACAUGUGAUAAUAAUGAAGGAAAAAUAGGCCAUGAGUUUCAAAGAGAGUAAGGAGAGGUAUAUGGUAGGAUUUGGGAGGGAUAAAUGUUGUAAUUAUAUUAUAAUCUUAAAACUUUUCCUGUAACUGGCUCUGUAAACCAGGCUUGGACUUGAACUCACAGAGAUCUGCCUGUCUCUGCCUCCAGAUGCUGGGAUUAAAGGCAUGCACUGCUACUAUUACCCAACUCUGUAAGCCUAAUUUUUAGAAGAUGAAAAAAAAAACUGUCUAUGAUGCCUGAGAUUUAUUUUAAGGGCAUUACAUACUAUGAGAAGCAUCAAGUACUCUUGUAAAAUAUGCAUAACAAGGGAACAAUGAGGAUGAUAGCCGUGGGACAGAAAAGAAAGGAAAUGGAUCAGAGGAGCAUUUCAGAGGCAAUGUCUGUAUGACUUAGCCAGGGGAACUCUGCAGAAGAGAAGGAGGAAAGAUUGUAGGAGUCAGAAGGGUACACCUCAAGAACACAGCCCACAGAACCUAAGUAGACUCAGUGGAUCACAGAAACUAAAGCAAAAACCUUGAAUUAUGUAUGGGUCUGAGCCAGGUCCUCUGGAUGUAUGUGUGGAGAGGCCGCUGAGAGUUCUGUAUUCAGAUCAGUAAGCCACAAGAAAAACCCCAAAGCACACCACAGUGACACUUCCUUCAACAUGGCCAUUCCUACUCCAAAAAGACCACACCUCCCAAUAGUGCUACUCCCUGUGAGCCUAUGGGGGAAGGGACAUUUUCAUUCAAACCACCACAAGGGCCCAUUAUGUUCAAUUGGUGGCAAACAUGAUAUUUUUAUCCUUAUUUUCAAUUUUUCAUCUUUCUGAGGACAGAUAAAGAUGUUCGUAGUUGGCUUCCUUCAAGACUUCAUUAUUUUGUUAUAUUGGCCAAGAUCAUUGAGAAAUAAGUGAUCAAGUAUUUAUCCUAGUGGGAGCUUACCAAGCCUGAGCAUAGGUCGAAGACUUUCAUGUGUGGAGACAGCGUACAGAACCUGUACCAGAUCUGACAGCCUAUAAUCAUAGUAAGCUUAGAGGCUGAGUCUGAAGAACAGUUUGGGGAUGCACAGAAAUGUUUUCAUUUCUUCAACUUUUGAAGAAUAAAAAGAAGAAAUGCAUGUAAUCCUGCUUGGAUUUGUUUUCAUACCAGUGUAAUCAUAGCAUGAUAUUUUAUUUUUAAAUUAUUUGGAUUGUUUUUAGAUCUUUGAAUGGUCCAAGUAAAACCAGCCUGACAAGGAGCUUUGCAUGGGACAUGUGGUGGAGCAGUUCUGCUAGCCCAGAUUCUAGAGUUCAUGUUUGAUUUUGUUUCUGGAGUUGAUUUCUGUAUUUACAUGAUUUUAAAAGCAAUUUGACUGACAUCAGUCCUUUUAUUUUAUUUGCCAAAAAAAAAAAGUUUCCGGAAUAGAGUUGCCUGCUGCCAUCUUCAGUAGCAGAAGGGUCUGUUUGAAUCUACACAAUAGCAAUGGGGGCAUUUCCCCAUUAUUUUAUCACUUUCUUUGCAAUGUGCUGUGUUCUCUAAAAUCCAAAUCCAUUAUUAUUAAAAUGUUAACAUUUUGAUAGCAUUUUAUUAAUGACAAGAACUCCUAAAGGCAAACAGGAUAUAUAUUCACCAAAAUCAUGCUGCCACUCUGAUUGAUGGUCUGAAAGGAUUUAAUUAUGCUUGUCAGCUCUUCACCAUGGUUCAGUUGGUUUUAAAUUGCUCUGACCUGAUUGAAGUUUUUGUGUGCAAAUAAUGGUCACUCUGAGUGUCCACAGGCUAGUGGCUGCUCUUCGUGAAGAUAGUAUGGCUCAUGUGAGGGGUUCUCAACAAGUAGCUCUUGGGCAUCAUCUUUCUGAAGGAAGAUACAAGGUCAUCAACAAGAGUGAUGUCUUGGGACACAGGCUAUUGCUGAAUGACCGCCGUAUGCACUAUCUUAGCUACAGGUAGCAACAGAUGUGACUAUGACAAGAACUGGAUAGCAUCUGUCAGACACACAGGUCUUCCUAUCUAUUGGUCUUUCAGAUAUUAGGAGACAGGAUGUACAGUUGCUUUUACAAUGCAUGACAACUGAUAGCUGAUGCUACUACCAAACACUUUUAGAUUCUAAACCUAAAAUCAAAAUGGCCUAAGUUCUACUUUUAAGUAUAUGAGAGCUAAUCUUUGUUGUCAACUUCUCUACACCUCAAAUCAACUAAAACCCAAGCUGCUGUCCAUUCCUGGGAGGGCCUUUUGUCAUCAGAUCAUUUGAAUCAGGAAGGACCACUGCUACUCCUGUAGCAGUCAAGAAAAAUAAAUGACAUGAAAAAAGAAAAUACUGCUUUUUGCCUGCUUGCCCUCACUUUCCCUGAAAAUUCAUCUAUUUGUUACCACUUCUUUUUCAUUCCAAGGAGACUGAAGACAAGUGGCUCUCUGGGAUUCCAGUGGCAGAUCGGGACUGAUUGUCGAGCUCACACACAAAGCUGCAGCAGAAGCAGGAGGCCCAAAGGGAAGAGGAAGCGAUGAUGUUUAGCUGGAUGGAAAGGACCAAGCUCAAAGUAAGACCUGACGACUAAAAAUGCCUCAACUGUGUUAGCAUAUUUGUUACAAAAUGCCCAUCACAACACUUUUCUCUCAAAGAGGAGGUUGUUUUUGAACUCCUCAGGAAGUGAAAACUACCAAGGACUUGGGACUCAAAUUUGAUGUUGAAACAAGAUUUAUUUUCUGUGUGUCUGUGUGCCUGCAUGUAUGUAUGUAUGUGCACUGUGCGGUCACCUCAUCUCCACAGAAGGCGGAUUCCCCUCAAACUGGAGUCACAGUGAUCCUGAGCUAAUAUGUGUAACCUGGAACCAGCCUGGGAUCUCUGUAAGAGCAACAGGUACUCUUACUACUGAGUCAUCUGUCUAGCUCCUGCAGCUGAACUCUGGAUGCUCCAAAGAUACUUCAUUCAUAUGAAAAUGUGUGUUGAGAUGGAUGUGUUGCCUCUAGUGCAUUGGAAUUACAAUUUCAAUGAGACUUCAACUGUAAUCAAUCCCUAAGAGUGUCUCUCAUGGAGGCUGAGCAGAACAGGAAAUUGGAAAAAUUAUUUUUGCUGAAGGAUUUUGAUUGUUUGCUUUCCUUGUAUAAUUAAUAACAACAAACAAACUUGAUUUUGGAUUCCAACUCCUUUGUGUUGACAUGCUAAUGAACUUAUUUCCAUUUUUAUAGUAACUAUGAAAGCCAACAAAUCAAAAAUUCAUUAAACAAGUGUGCAUUUUAACAGAGGACUGCCCCUCCUUGUCACACUUCGGCCUCUCAAAGGUAACUAACAACUCAAAUAGGAAACACAAGAAUGCUUAUACUGUCUAAAUGUGUGUUCCUAAACACAACAGCCCACUUUUAACUUCGUAUGGAAUUUACAUAACUGAAAGUAUGCACUAUCAUUUUUUACAUAGGCAGUCAGUUCCAAAAUAUUAUGUCUGUGGAGGUAAUAUAUGAAUAGCUGUGGUCUGUUUUCAUAACCAGCUAAGUGCCUGUAGGACCUGCCUGGCUUACUGAUGGUUUGGCUCAGCUGAAAUGCUUCAGCUAUGAGGCUGAACCAUAACAGACAUAAUUUCUCCAUUGAGUAUCUGGAACUUAGUUCUAUGCUCACAUUUAUGGACAAUAGUCCCCUUGAUGAAUCUCAUAUUUUUAUUGUUCUUGGGUAGUAGCCAAUCUCCUAACUGCUUGUCUUCAAUCUUAGAAAAUGCCCUGUUUGGGGCCAUAAACUGUGGAAACAAAUCAUAGUUGCUAAAUUAACUGUCUGUGUGGCUCUCUUAAAUAACCAUGAUAAGGGACCAUUUUUUAUUACACUAAUGAGAUAAGACCAAUUGAGCAGCUCCCUGACUCUGAAAUCACCCAGUUUAUAGACAUUGCUGCCUAGAUUUGUAACCACACCAAAUAUGGCCGCAUAUCCACUGUAAUAGAAUAUGGACAUUCAAAGGAUGUUUUUGUCUUUUGUUGUUAUUGUUGCCAUUAAGGUGACCAUAUGUAGCAUGCAUGUUUCUGGCCCAGCAAGGUUCUGCCAUCCUUGAGCUCUGAAUGAACACUCAGAGACUUAUAUUAAUUAUAAAACUGUUGACCCAUGACUAGGGCUUCUUAUUGGCUAGCUCUGUCGUAACUCUUAGCCUAUUUCUAUUAAUCUAUGUAUUUCCACAUGGUCAUGACUUACCAGAGAACGCCUUGCACAUGCUCUCUUCCCAGGCUCUACAUGAUGACUCUUGUCUGCCUACACUUCCCAGAAUACUCCUCCUCUAAUAGCCCAGCCUAUCUUUCCUGCCUGACCACUAGCCACACAGUGUUUUUUUUAUUCAUCAACCAAUAAGAGAAACAGAUACACAGAAGGACAACCCCUCAACCAUAUAUUUAAUUUCAAAACUAGAAAUACUUUAACAGUAAAAUGUUAAUAAAAUGAAAUUUAACAAUAUUUUGUUAAUUAAAUGAUAUUAUAUAUGUAGACUUGCCAAAUACAUUCAUCCAAAGAUUUUUUAAAAUGAAUAAAUUUAUAGAACACUAAAGUCAGAAAAAAUAGGCAAAUAAAUAAAAGUAAAUGAAAAUAAAAAACAUAUUGUCUGAAUGUUAAAAUACAACAUAAGGGAGCCUGAAAGAUGACUCAGUAGUUAGAAAACAUUGGCUGUUCUUGCAGAAGGCCCAGAUUUGGUUUCCAGCACCCACAAGCAGGCAGCUCCAACCACAUUUAAUUCCAAUUUCACAGGACCCCAUGCUUUCUACUGGCCUUGGUGGGUAGCUGCAUACAUUCAGACACACAUAUACACAAAUAAAAUUAAAAAUUAAUAAACACACAUAUAAUAA
Mesocricetus auratus (golden hamster) is the source of this 4921-nucleotide long non-coding RNA. RefSeq lists it as uncharacterized. NCBI's taxonomy places the organism in Eukaryota, Metazoa, Chordata, Mammalia, Rodentia, Cricetidae. The record is from RefSeq and is a predicted model, not a curated record. The transcript is spliced from 2 exons.